UGCUAUACCUGGACCUCAGCGAGAACCGCCUGGAGAGCCUGCCCCCGCAGAUGCGCCGCCUGGUGCACCUGCAGACGCUCGUGCUCAAUGGAAACCCCCUGCUGCAUGCACAGCUCCGGCAGCUCCCAGCGAUGACGGCCCUGCAGACCCUGCACCUGCGGAGCACCCAGCGUACCCAGAGCAACCUGCCCACCAGCCUGGAGGGUCUGAGCAACCUCGCAGGUCAGGCAGCCCCCAGGAGCCCCUCUGAGCUCUGGCCCCCUCUGGGCCCUCUUGCUUCCUUGGGUGGAAGGGGUUGAACCCUGCUCUUCGGACCAAUGCCCAGAGGGAAAAGGCUGGAGUUAUGUUACAGUGACUUUUGCGAUUAUGAUGAUGCCUUAACACUGACUUUAUGCCUAGACAACUCCCCCGCAACCCCCGUGUGAGGGAGUUUGUCCAAAUGGAGAAACUUGGGCGCACAGCAGUUGUCACUUGCCUAAGGCCACACAGCUCAGAGGUGGCAGAGCUGGGGUUCAUACUAGGGCUGGCUGCCCUGGCACCUGCUGUAUGGGCCCCAGCUGAUGCCCCACACCCUGCACCCCAGACGUGGACCUGUCCUGCAACGACCUGACGCGGGUGCCCGAGUGUCUGUACACCCUCCCCAGCCUGCGCCGCCUCAACCUCAGCAGCAACCAGAUCACGGAGCUGUCCCUGUGCAUCGACCAGUGGGUGCACGUGGAAACUCUGAACCUGUCCCGAAAUCAGCUCACCUCACUGCCCUCAGCCAUUUGCAAGCUGAGCAAGCUGAAGAAGCUGUACCUGAAUUCCAACAAGCUGGACUUUGACGGGCUGCCCUCGGGCAUUGGCAAGCUCACCAACCUGGAAGAGUUCAUGGCUGCCAACAACAACCUGGAGCUGAUCCCCGAAAGUCUCUGCAGGUGCCCAAAGCUGAGGAAACUUGUCGUGAACAAGAACCGCCUGGUGACCCUCCCAGAAGCCAUCCAUUUCCUGACGGAGAUCGAGGUCCUGGAUGUGCGGGAGAACCCCAACCUGGU
This 1034-nucleotide small RNA is filed under the name Pongo abelii (Sumatran orangutan). RNAcentral's name for it is "retained intron". Lineage: Eukaryota; Metazoa; Chordata; Mammalia; Primates; Hominidae. The record is from RNAcentral.